Molecule: ribosomal RNA, 440 nt
Filed under: uncultured bacterium
Lineage: Bacteria
Description: partial 16S ribosomal RNA
Rfam family: Bacterial small subunit ribosomal RNA
Source: RNAcentral
CCUACGGGAGGCAGCAGUGGGGAAUAUUGCACAAUGGGGGAAACCCUGAUGCAGCGACGCCGCGUGAGUGAGGAAGUAAUUCGUUAUGUAAAGCUCUAUCAGCAGGGAAGAAAAUGACGGUACCUGAGUAAGAAGCCCCGGCUAACUACGUGCCAGCAGCCGCGGUAAGACGUAGGGGGCAAGCGUUAUCCGGAUGUACUGGGUGUAAAGGGAGCGUAGGCGGCAGUGCAAGUCUGGAGUGAAAGGCGGGGGCUCAACCCCCGGACUGCGCUGGAAACUGUAGGGCUAGAGUGCAGGAGAGGUAAGUGGAAUGCCUGGUGUAGCGGUGAAAUGCAUAGAUAUUAGGAAGAACACCAGUGGCGAAGGCAGCUUACUGGACUAUAACUGACGUUGAGGCUCGAAAGCGUGGGGAGCAAAUAGGAUUAGAUACCCCUGUAGUC